Molecule: non-coding RNA, 390 nt
Organism: Mauremys mutica (yellowpond turtle)
Lineage: Eukaryota; Metazoa; Chordata; Testudines; Geoemydidae
Source: the annotation of a RefSeq genome assembly
AUGCUUAAAACCCUGGUCUCCACGCUCGUGCUGAUCCUUGUUUCCAGCGGAGCGGUGGACGCGAAGGUUUCUCAGCCUGCUGCGCUGACUUUGCUGGCGGGGGGCAGGGCUGACCUCCCCUGUAACCACAGUGUCGCUGCCUAUGACAGAGUUAUUUGGUACUAUCAGAGCCCCGGAGCUGCCCCUCGAGCUGUGAUCUCUGGCUACAAGUCCGCGGAUACAUCGGGGUGGUUUGAACUGUCCAUUGACCCCUCCCGCCGGUCCGCCCCGCUGCGCAUCACCAAGGUGGCGGUGGAGGACUCGGGGGUGUAUUACUGCGCCCUGAGAGACACAGCGAGAGGUAAUGCAGCGGCCAUGACCGGGAUGCUCUGCAGUGCAGAGUUAAAGUGA